CCCGUUCGAAUACAUAUUCAUCAACCGCUCUAACUUACUCAAGUCUAGGUUUGCCGGAGAAAACCGAGUCCCUGGAAAGGAAGAACAGCCAACUUGGGCUUGUGCUCUAGAAGCCCAAGGAAGCCUUGGUCUGGGGCUCGCCCGGGAACUGGGGAAAGCUCCCAGGCUGUCCUAAAGGUCUACCAGCGCAGAUUUCCCAGGAAAAACCAAGAGAUGUCGCACGCUCGGAUAGACCCCUCUUCUAAAAUGCUAUCAUAAAUGAGAUUUAUUUUUCUUAAGUUCUCCAUCGGCUCUCCCGGGCUCUCUCUCCUCGCCACUGAGCCGGUCCAUGCUGGCAGAGUGAGGCCAUCUAGGCCACCAUUCAGGGGCAGCUCAGAAAGCCACUGGAAAGCUCGACGGCUGGGUGGCCCAGCGGCCCGGCAGGCCUGGCGGUCAACCAUCGAAAACAAUCGACUUCGUCGGCUGUAAAGUGUUCUACCGACGUCCGCCUCCAGGGCAGCGCAAGGAAUCCAAGGACUGCCCAGAUCACCGCGGGUUCGAGCCCUGCCUCCGCUGGCAAUUCAUCCAGCGACCCUGAUGCACAAAGGAAGAACCCUCAGAAAAGUGGUGGCGAUCUUCCCUCCUGUACCACUCCCUUAGAUAAAGGAGCGGGGACCGGAGCGGGCGGUGAAAGGCAAAGCAACCUUGGUAUUUCCCCUCCCCCCCCCACGUCCAUAGGAGGCCCGGCUUCCGCCACGAAAUGUAGAUUCAUCCAUUCCACAACUCUUCGUUCACCACCUACCAUGUACCAGACACUGUAUUACUCUCAAAAACGCAGCAUAAAUGUAAAUCGGGCCCCAAACCCAGAGCCUAAGGAUUGGUUGGCUCUCUGGAAUGUUCUAAGAUCAUCAGCAUGCACCUUGGAGUCGCCAGACUUGCUACUCUACAGAUUCCAACGCUGGGCAAACGGAUACAAGGAAACCUAACUUCUGCAUAACUUUUACUUCUCCCUUCCUUUUUUCCUUUUUCAAGUACCAAAGGACCAUUAAUUAGAAGAAUAAUUACUGCUACCCUAUAUUAUCCCAACCUGUUCAAUUUCUAUCUGCUGCAGACAAUGCUAAUAAUGGCAAUUAUUGCUUCUAUAAACAUCCCGAGGCAGCACUCUCCGCCCGCGGUGUGUGUGUGUGUGUGUGUGUGUGUGUGUGUGUGUGUUUCAAGAAUAUAUAUAAAAAGUUCCCCCGCUCAUUUGCAUAGCUUCAUCUUUACCUUUUCCCAUUCAACCCUUGCAAAAAGCAUAUCUAUUCAAAGCCCUUGCAAAAAGCAUAUCUAUUCAAAGGGCAUUUAGUCCAUUUCUUUCUUGGCCGGUAAACCUAUUCAUCAAUUGUUCUGCCUUGUAGAUCGCAUUCUAAUGCUAAUCUAGCGUGUUAAAUAUCUUUUUGUUCCCCUUUCA
This is a long non-coding RNA of Suricata suricatta (meerkat), 1429 nucleotides long. RefSeq lists it as uncharacterized. The record is from RefSeq and is a predicted model, not a curated record. The transcript is spliced from 5 exons. NCBI's taxonomy places the organism in Eukaryota, Metazoa, Chordata, Mammalia, Carnivora, Herpestidae.